Molecule: ribosomal RNA, 440 nt
Filed under: uncultured bacterium
Lineage: Bacteria
Description: partial 16S ribosomal RNA
Rfam family: Bacterial small subunit ribosomal RNA
Source: RNAcentral
CCUACGGGAGGCAGCAGUGGGGAAUAUUGCUCAAUGGGGGAAACCCUGAAGCAGCAACGCCGCGUGGAGGAUGAAGGUCUUCGGAUUGUAAACUCCUUUUGUUAGAGAAGAUAAUGACGGUAUCUAACGAAUAAGCAACGGCUAUUACCGAGCCAGCAGCCGCGGUAAUACGGCGGGUGCAAGCGUUACUCGGAAGCACUGGGCGUAAAGGGGGCGUAGGCGGGUUAGCAAGUCAGAUGUGAAAUCCUAGGGCUUAACCAUAGAACUGCAUUUGAAACUGUUAUUCUAGAGUAUGGGAGAGGUAGGUGGAAUUCUUGGUGUAGCGGUGAAAUGCGUAGAGAUCAAGAGGAAUACUCAUUGCGAAGGCGACCUGCUAGAACAUAACUGACGCUGAUGCGCGAAAGCGUGGGGAGCAAACAGGAUUAGAUACCCGAGUAGUC